Macaca fascicularis (crab-eating macaque) is the source of this 1731-nucleotide long non-coding RNA. The record is from Ensembl. Lineage: Eukaryota; Metazoa; Chordata; Mammalia; Primates; Cercopithecidae.
UUUUUGUUUUUUUGUUUUUUUUUUAAUGCCAUGUCAUUUUCAUUCAGAGCAUUACCUGGAAUAUCUUCUGCCCCGUAUGAAUACCCGCUGGCUGACUUUUUAAAAGAGUUUCUCCUGCACACCCUGGCUUUAUGCCCACUGAAUGGCAAGCCUUGGUUUCAGAUGUUAAAUUUUUUUAAUCCUUCCUUCCCUCCUUAAUCCCUUCUCUGUCAUCUGCUUGGCGUCACAGAGUGGGCCGAGAGAGGUGGAAUCCCCUCUGGAAAGAGAAGAGAAAAGCCGCUGACCAGCUCCUGUGGAAGCCUUCCUGCAUUUGAAGAGUUUAUUUACUACAAAUAAUAGCAAUUAAUCAGCCGGGCAGCUGUACAUACAGGGCAGCCUCUCGACUCACGGCAUCAGGGACGUGUGAGGUCAGAAUCCUCAACCUUUAGGAGCCCUACAAAGCGAGAACCUGUAGACAACUGCAGCUUACCCUGACCGUCUGCUGGCAGGUUUCCUCAGCAGCAUCCCAGCCACAUGUCACUCACUCAGACUCACCAACCUCUGCUCAUGUGAAAUUCAUAGCAUCACAUUAGAGACAUUUUGGUUAAUUGCUUUUCUUUUAUUUUUUUGAGAUGGACUCUCACUUUUGUCGCCCAGGCUGAAGUGCAGUGGCACGAUCUCAGCUCACUGCAACCUCUGCCUCCCAGGUUCAAGCGAUUCUCCUGCCUCAGCCUCCCGAGUACCUGAGAUUAUAGGCACCCACCACCACACCCAGCUAACUUUUGUAAUUUUAGUAGAGACAGGGUUUCACCAUGUUGACCAGGCUGGUCUCGAACUCCAGACCUCAGGUAAUCCAUCCGCCUUGGCCCCCUCAAAGUGCUGGGAUUACAGGCAUGAGCCACCACGCCCAGCCAUUUUAUUUUCUUUUUGAAACUCUGUAGCCAACAGCAUUGCACAUGUUCUUCCCACUCUUGGCAAAUUUGAGAAUGCAAUACCCCUUUUGGCAUCUACAGGCUAAAAACUUCAAGUGGCUAAUUGUGUGCUGCCUGUCCCCCUUGGUGCAAAUACUGAGAGCAAAGAUCUGUUUGAGAGUAUGUUGUCCCCAAAGGCCGGAUGACAGAUGAGCUGGGCACCCGACAAUCCUGUCUUCCUCACUCCCAUCCCCCCAUCAUCUCCUGAUUACUUUGUGGACUGGAUUUCCCAAGGAACGGCCCUUCUCUCAGUCUCACAUGAUUUCGAAGCUGACUUCCCAGAGUCCCUGAGGCAGCACUGGUUUCACUGUUUCUGAGAAGGGGUGGUGCAGGCGGCGUCAGACCCCCAGGAGGACGAGAGCUAGGGUCAGAGUCUAACCAAGCCAGCUGGACCGGAAGCUUCAUGUUCUGGGAUGCAACCAGAUGCAUUUCAGAAGCGGGUGGCCUCUUCUGGAUUUCUUUGCCAAAGUUUGGAUUCUACUGAUUUGUCGUAAAUAAACUCAAUUUUCACUCCCUUCACACAAAUCAUCUUUUUUUGGAACUGGUUAAAAAAAAAAUAAAGAAUGCGCAAGUGCAUGGAAGAUGAGGAAAUCGGAGGAGCGUGACUAAGACACUAGCCCCAAAAAUGACACAAGGCAGCAAGGCCGGUGCACACUGGCCUCUGCAGCAGUGGGCAUCAUGAACUCGCCAGGGAUCCUCACCCAAACACACAGAGCGUCCAGGAACCAGGAAAGAGGAGGAGAUGCACAAAACGAGCAGCGCGCAACCUAGAGGGAGGCGG